UCUCCCAACUCGUCACUCGUCAAGCAGAGGAUCAUAAGACCAUUAACCAGUCCCUCAAUAACUCAAGCAACCUCACAACCUCAUCCUUACAAAUAAACCAUUCGAGCCAUGAUGGCCGACAGACAAUAUUCUCCAUCUCCCCUUUCCAAACAGAACAUCAAGCUCAUCACUUCUCGGCUCGGCAACGUCGCCAACUCGUUGGAGUAUCUUGGCCUUUCCUGACACUCGCAUGCUACACCCUCAACCCUACAUGGUCUCUAGGCUAAGAUUUCAUGGAGCACGGAGAGCGAAAGGAAAGAAGAUAAUCCGUAUCCAUUAACGAAACGCAUCCAUUCAGCUGGAUACCUACGAACUUAUAUUUCUCAACAAUCUGUUGGUCGUAAAUGUUGUUAAGCAGAAAUAGGGAGGAAAUAUGCGGUGUACGUCAAUUAGUUGCGCCUUAGCUGAGUAUGUCAGGCCCUUUACUUUGUAAAUAAUCAGAAGCAACUUUGCCUAGGAAACGGAGAAGAAACGUCUUGAUGUAAUGCGACAUGUCAUUUUGCACCGUUUGACACU
RNAcentral lists this small RNA (555 nucleotides) under Cryptococcus neoformans H99. RNAcentral's name for it is "Cryptococcus neoformans var. grubii H99 hypothetical RNA". Lineage: Eukaryota; Fungi; Basidiomycota; Tremellomycetes; Tremellales; Cryptococcaceae. The record is from RNAcentral.